CACACUGCAGCUCACGGCAACACCGGAUCCUUAACCCACUGAGUGAAGCCAGGGAUCAAACCUGCUUCCUCAUGGAUGCUAGUCAUAUUCUUUUCUGCUGAGCCACGAUGAGCCCAAUUUUAUACAUUCUUACAGUUUUAUUUCUCGAUUUAUCUCUUGGCUUCUAUUAUCUGACAUUAAAACCAGACAUCUGAACCAAACUUGUCAUAUCUUAAUCUCAUACAAAACUUCCAUAGACCGUGGAAGGGAAACUCCCAUUAGAGUGGCUUUUAGGCUGGAGUGAAAGGAAAAGUAAAGCAGCCAUGACUGAAUAAAAGUGAGUGAACCAUGAAUCAUCUGAAAAGACUGCUUGGCAUCACAUGAACUAGAAAAGUGUUGACUCACUAACCUAUAUUCUUCUUUGCAUACACCAUUAGCUUGCUGUAGUUACACAGUUUGUUAAAUAAUGUGGAUGCUCAAUAGAGAACACGUUGCUUAAAAAUUUUUGCUUUAGUCGUGUGUGGGAGGUACAUUGUCAUAAGCAUGUAAGAACAAGGGGUAGAUGUUAAGAGAGAAGAAGAAAGAAAAAAAAAAAACCGUCUCAUAAAUGUGGUUCGGAUUAUGUAUUCAAGGAACGCAGUUACAAUUUUUUGGCAAGCUUUCUCAGGAAGAAGGAAACCUAAGAAAAAUUAUCAUACAAGUGAAAGGCUCCUUUGUUCAAAUUCUGACUAUUUAUUGACAUCAAAACCAGGGGAUUGAAUUUCUUCUUACCCUCACUGGUUGUGGUAGUCAGUGUAGGAGCAUGGGCUUUGCUGCAUUCUUUGGUAUGGCUAUUGAUUAACCUUUGUGGUUUAAGGGCUUCAGAGAGUAAUUCCCCACAGGCUUGUUUUAUUAUAGAAAGUGUACUUUCCCCACAGGCCUUGUUUACCAUAGGAAAUGUGCCUUCCCCCACAGGGACCCUAUCUCUGAACUACUCUUCAACUGAUAGAAAAGGAAUGAGAGGAAUGGUGACUUUGUCUAAGGGAAGAAAAGACAAAGAAGUCAUAAAACUUUGGGACAUUUCCACCCCUAAAACCCCUAUUGGACAAGGACUGAUAGAGGAAACUAAGCAAGGCCAAUGGGAAAAAACCACAUCUUUCUGGACCCCACGUUUGUACCCACCCCCCCAUCUUUAAGGAUAAAAACCCUUAUAGGACAAUAGAGAGGGGAGCUCUUCUCCCCGCUCCCAGCUGCCCUGGGAGUUGUUUGCGUUUCUGUAAUGAAGACUUUGCUUGCUUGCUGCCUGUGUGUUUGCGGAGUUCAUUCCUCGACUGCAUGAAUAAGAACCUGGAUUCUGGUAACAUCUUUCUGGCAUCAUUGUAUGGAAAUACUUCCUCUGUCUGCUGAGUGGCCGGGGUGGGAUGUGACAGAUUACAAUUGAAACCACCAGUGUCUUUCAGUUUGGGAUCAGGAAGCACACUGAGCAAAACUGUGAAAGGUUAAAAGCUUAUCUUUCUGGGGAGUUCCCACUGCAGCUCAGCGGUAAUAAAUCAACUAGUAUCCAUGAGAAUGCAGUUUCGAUCCCUGGCUUCGCUCAGUGGGUUAAGGAUCUGGCAGAAUCUGGUGUUACCAUGAGCUGUGGUGUAGAUCGCAAUCACAGCUCGAAUCCCCCUUUGCUGUGGCGUAGGCUGGCAACUAUAGCUCUGAUUCCACCCGUAGCUUGGGAACUUUCAUAUGCCGCAGGUGCAGCCCUAAAAAAAAAAAAA
RNAcentral lists this long non-coding RNA (1724 nucleotides) under Sus scrofa (pig). RNAcentral's name for it is "lncRNA (ENSSSCG00015060210.1)". Lineage: Eukaryota; Metazoa; Chordata; Mammalia; Artiodactyla; Suidae. The record is from RNAcentral.